RNAcentral lists this unclassified non-coding RNA (382 nucleotides) under uncultured bacterium. Its description in RNAcentral is "contains 16S-23S intergenic spacer region". The record is from RNAcentral.
UCCGGCUUAUCACCGGCGGUUUCUUUAGAGUUCCCAACUAAAUGAUGGCAACUAAAGACGAGGGUUGCGCUCGUUGCGGGACUUAACCCAACAUCUCACGACACGAGCUGACGACAGCCAUGCAGCACCUGUGCAGGUUACACCCGAAGGCAAUCCCCCGGCUUUCACCGGGUUAAUCCCUGCAUGUCCAGCCUGGGUAAGGUUCUUCGCGUUGCGUCGAAUUAAACCACAUGCUCCGCUGCUUGUGCGGGUCCCCGUCAAUUCCUUUGAGUUUUAGCCUUGCGGCCGUACUCCCCAGGCGGGGCACUUAAUGCGUUAGCUCCGGCACGGGAGGAGUCGACACCUCCCACACCUAGUGCCCAUCGUUUACGGCGUGGACUAC